CAGAGAAUGGUUUAAUUUAAAAUAUUAAUUUUGGAGAUUAAAGUUAAGAUAUCUAUCUUUUCUCUGA
RNAcentral lists this transfer RNA (67 nucleotides) under Hydrochus sp. BMNH 840193. Its description in RNAcentral is "tRNA-Pro". Lineage: Eukaryota; Metazoa; Arthropoda; Insecta; Coleoptera; Hydrochidae. The record is from RNAcentral.